Phyllostomus discolor (pale spear-nosed bat) is the source of this 2893-nucleotide long non-coding RNA. RefSeq lists it as uncharacterized. Lineage: Eukaryota; Metazoa; Chordata; Mammalia; Chiroptera; Phyllostomidae. The transcript is spliced from 2 exons. The record is from RefSeq and is a predicted model, not a curated record.
GAUCGGAGACUGAACCCACAACCUAGGUAUGUGCCCUGACCAGAAAUUAAACCUGCAACAUUUUGGUGCAUGGGACGAUGCUCCAACCAACGGAGCCACCUGGCCACAGUGGAAGUGUGCCUCUGCAGACAAGGCUUGGGGAGACUGACCUUGAAGCAAGAGAAAUUGCUUCAUUUCCCUCCAAAGAAUCUCAUAAUAGGAAUGUGAUAUGAGUAGGAUUUGACAUUGUAACAUUCUGUUCAUAGAAACAUGUACCGCCCUCUCUUCCUGCCUGAGGGGGACUGGUUCUAGGAUCCCCCGUGGACACCAAAUCCUCAGGUGCUCGAGUCCCUUAUAUAAAAUGGCACGUUUGCAUAUAACCUGCACAUCCUUCUGUAUAAUUUAACCUCUGGAUUAUUUAUAAUCUGUAAUAUAAUGUAAAUGGUAUACCGUAUUGUUUAGGGAACAGUGACAAAAAAAGUCUGAGCAUGUUCAGGAGAUGCAAACAUCAUAGGCCUAACUACAUAGUACUGUAGUACUAUGGUAACUACAUAGUAGAUGACCCACUGUAUGUCGGUAACAGCCAAGAGAGUACUCGCUAGCACACCUGCCUCUGCAGAGGAGUGGGAAGGGGAAGUCCCCUCAGAAAUAGGACAGGCCCCUCCUUGAUGAAUUUACUAAAGUUCAGGGUCAUGCCUUUUUAGGCUCAGCUUGCAUUUGGACCCAGAUUAACUAGAUUCAUGGAUCUGAUGGAAGCAGGAGAAUGCCAUUUUGUAAAUAUCCCACGAGAAAUUGCACAUGGCAUGGUAAUAGGCUGGCACGUGUGGUCUCUGCAGAGGCCCAACUUACUGUGCGAUGAGGAAGAUGAAGUUAUUCUAGAUUAUCAACACUGUGUGCCAAGUACUAUGCUGUGUACUAAAGAUACACUUGUGAACAAGACAAAAGCAUAUUACUUCUUGCAGGCACACCCCUGUGGAAUCGGGGGGUACUCGGUGAGUUGAACACUGGCUGGAAACUAAGAAGGUCGGUGGAAUCGAUUCAGGUCUAGUGAUGCCCUUGUGUGGAAGCAGCAGUAGGACCUACUCUGCCCUGGGAAGUGUUAGGCUGCGCGGUGCCUCAGCUUCUCAGUGUCUCUUUGAAAACAUCUGUCAUUAAUACCUUCAUGUCUUAGUCACAUUGGAAAAUUCUGCCUACUUCCCACUCGGACGCCUUCAGGGGGCUCUGUGUGCCGUGUUUAGGUGCCCACAGAGGUGUGUGGGAGUCCUCCCCGUACACUUGGAAGACGAGGUAGUAAAAAGGAGAUUGCUGUACAAGCACACCCACCGUUCCUUGUGUUUUCCUCAGUUCGGGGCAUGUUUGGGGGUCACACUGGCUCUCUGCUGAGAAAAUGGUCACGCCCUGGACGACCCUGCUGCUGAGCUGGUGUUAAGCUGCCAGAGAAGACACCAACAUGCAAACUAGCCCCACUGACAACCAUGACUCUCUCACAUGUCUGGACAUUUCCAUUUAGGAGAAUUAUUACCUGCUUGUCUUGCAUUUUAUCUUCCUCUAGUGUUCUCCAUGUGAUUCAAAAUUAAGAGAACUUACAUUGUAUUCUUCGAUAGCAGUGGUCUUAGUGUAACAAUAUGUUCUCAUCUGUUGUGCUUACUACUUGAUAUACUUCUGCAACUUUAACCCAGACCUUUGCUUAGGAAAGAAUGUAUAAUCACACCAUUGCACAGGCUAGAAGAUGAAAAGUAACCUUUGAUGUCUUUUACUUCCAGAUCCAAUCACUUAAUCCUGUUGACUUUAUUGUGUAUCUCCUGAAUCUGAUCACUUAUUCCCAUCUCUUCUAUCAAUGCCCUACUUAGAUUUUUUUUAAAGGUUAAGAUUAUGCAAGAUGAGUUACUUUCUUCUUCCAUUACCUAAAUGCUUGAUAAGCCAUGUAUAAACUGAUGUUGGAGUUUUGGGACCUCUGAAGUUCACUAUCAUGGUUAUGAUUUCAAAUUCUAGAGUCACACCACCAGUGAGGUGUGAGGAAGGCAAAUACACUUGGGAGAAAGUUACUUUCCACCUGCUUGAGCAUUGCAUCACGGGUCUUGAUGGUUGCCAGUCCUUAAAGGUGAACUAUAUGUGUGUAUUUUAGUCCUUGGAAAAUCUAGAGAGAAAUUAGGGUGAUGAGAUAGGGGUAAAGGCUAAAAUGCUGACAUCCAAGGUGUUUGACUAGGAGAAUUAAAAGGGUCUUUGGGGAUUUUUUAAAAACCCUCAUGGAGGAUAUCUUUAUUAGAGAGAGAGGAAGGGGAAGGGAGAAAGCGAACCUGGUGUGGGAGAAACAGUUGCCUCCUACAAGCGACCCACAACCCACGGGAUGGAACUGGCAACCCUUGGAGUACAGGACUAGGCUCCAAUUCACUGAGCCAUCUGGCCAGGGCUUGGAGAUUGUUUCUAUUUCCAAGAUUUGGCUUAUAUUUCUCAUUGCUAUUACUCUGGAAACCAGAAACCAGAAGUUUAAGUCUAUCAGCGUAGAAGCCGCUGGGAUUACACCAGCAUUAUUUGGCAUUACGACCGUCUCGUCUCAUACAAAAUGAUCCGAGGUGGCGUUAUGGGGCGGGGUCUCAAAUCCAAAGUGCAAAUGCGUUAUUGCAUUCUUUUUGAGAACAGAUUUUUAAGCAAGAACACCCAAGGAUUUUACUUAGGUUGGCUCUGCCUAAAGUGCAAUAUCUUCCUCUGUCUCCAGCCAUUAAAAUAAAAUAAGCCCCAACCAAGGAAUGGCUUCCACGUGUUCGGGAAGGCGGUGCUGUGUCCAAAGACGACUCGAUCGAGACACGUCAAGGACACGGCAACAUCCACAAUAAAGCCUCAACCGAGGGCAACUGAAGAGUGUUUAAUUACCCCAUUUGCCCGAGAAUUUGGCUUUUAGAAAGAUAUGCAAAAC